Molecule: ribosomal RNA, 492 nt
Filed under: uncultured bacterium
Lineage: Bacteria
Description: partial 16S ribosomal RNA
Rfam family: Bacterial small subunit ribosomal RNA
Source: RNAcentral
AGUGAACGCUGGCGGUAGGCCUAACACAUGCAAGUCGAACGGCAGCACAGUAAGAGCUUGCUCUUACGGGUGGCGAGUGGCGGACGGGUGAGGAAUACAUCGGAAUCUACUUUUUCGUGGGGGGUAACGUAGGGAAACUUACGCUAAUACCGCAUACGACCUACGGGUGAAAGAAGGGGAUCUUCGGACCUUGCGCGAUUGAUUGAGCCGAUGUCGGAUUAGCUAGUUGGCGGGGUAAAGGCCCACCAAGGCGACGACCCGUAGCUGGUCUGAGAGAAUGAUCAGCCACACUGGAACUGAGACACGGUCCAGACUCCUACGGGAGGCAGCAGUGGGGAAUAUUGGACAAUGGGCGCAAGCCUGAUCCAGCCAUACCGCGUGGGUGAAGAAGGCCUUCGGGUUGUAAAGCCCUUUUGUUGGGAAAGAAAAGCAGCAGGUUAAUACCCCGCUGUUCUGACGGUACCCAAAGAAUAAGCACCGGCUAACUUCGUG